GAUGAACGCUAGCGGCAGGCCUAACACAUGCAAGUCGAGGGGCAGCACGUCUUCGGAUGGUGGCGACCGGCGCACGGGUGCGUAACGCGUAUGCAACCUACCUCUUACAGUGGGAUAGCCCAGAGAAAUUUGGAUUAAUACCGCAUAGUAUACAGAUUCAGCAUUGGGACUGUAUUAAACAUUUAUGGGUAAGAGAUGGGCAUGCGUUCUAUUAGUUAGUUGGAGUGGUAACGGCACCCCAAGACAGCGAUAGAUAGGGCCCUGAGAGGGGGAGUCCCCCACACUGGUACUGAGACACGGACCAGACUCCUACGGGAGGCAGCAGUGAGGAAUAUUGGACAAUGGGCGAGAGCCUGAUCCAGCCAUGCCGCGUGCAGGAAGACGG
RNAcentral lists this ribosomal RNA (385 nucleotides) under uncultured bacterium. Its description in RNAcentral is "bacterial SSU rRNA". It matches the Rfam family "Bacterial small subunit ribosomal RNA", at positions 28 to 414 of the family's 1533-position model. The record is from RNAcentral.